Molecule: ribosomal RNA, 548 nt
Filed under: uncultured Glomeromycotina
Lineage: Eukaryota; Fungi; Glomeromycota
Description: SSU rRNA
Rfam family: Eukaryotic small subunit ribosomal RNA
Source: RNAcentral
UUGGAGGGCAAGUCUGGUGCCAGCAGCCGCGGUAAUUCCAGCUCCAAUAGCGUAUAUUAAAGUUGUUGCAGUUAAAAAGCUCGUAGUUGAAUUUCGGGGUUAGUAGGUUGGUCGUGCCUCAGGUAUGUACUGAUCUCACUGAUUCCUCCUUCCUGAUGAACCGUAAUGCCAUUAAUUUGGUGUUGCGGGGAAACUGGACUGUUACUUUGAAAAAAUUAGAGUGUUUAAAGCAGGCUAACGCUUGAAUACAUUAGCAUGGAAUAAUGAAAUAGGACGUUCGAUCCUAUUUUGUUGGUUUCUAGGAUUGACGUAAUGAUUAAUAGGGAUAGUUGGGGGCAUUAGUAUUCAAUUGUCAGAGGUGAAAUUCUUGGAUUUAUUGAAGACUAACUACUGCGAAAGCAUUUGCCAAGGAUGUUUUCAUUAAUCAAGAACGAAAGUUAGGGGAUCGAAGACGAUCAGAUACCGUCGUAGUCUUAACCAUAAACUAUGCCGACUAGGGAUCGGAUGAUGUUAAUUUUUUAAUGACUCAUUCGGCGCCUUACGGGAAA